AUGCUGAUCAAGAACCACCUCCAAGUAGGUGCCACUGCCAUUCUACAGCAUGACCCAGAUUGGGAUCACAACUCUGAGGCAGGUGUCCUGGCUGAUCUGACACUUCAGGAGUCAGGACCUGGCCUGGUGAAGCCCUCGCAGACCCUGUCCCUCACCUGCACAGUCAGAGGGGCUUCCAUAGCUAGCUAUGCCUGGAGCUGGAUGCGGAAGCCUCCUGGAAAAGCUCUACAGUGGAUGGGGCACUGGGCAGGGACCACAAAGUAUGACCCUGCUUUCCAGGGCCGCAUCUCCAUCACUGUUGAUAGAGCCAAGAGCCAGUUCUCCCUGCAGCUGAACUCCGUGACCACAGAGGACACCGCUGUAUAUUACUGUGCAAGACGCACAGUGAGAGGACAUCAGCAUGAGCCCAGAAAUGAACCUCCCUGCAAGGUGCUCCAGACCAGCAGGGGGCAGCAAUGCCCACCAAGUUUAAAAUUCAACCUCGGGGACCAAUGCAGAGAGGGAGUGUAG
Non-coding RNA from Fukomys damarensis (Damara mole-rat), 510 nucleotides. Lineage: Eukaryota; Metazoa; Chordata; Mammalia; Rodentia; Bathyergidae. The record is from the annotation of a RefSeq genome assembly.